Molecule: ribosomal RNA, 253 nt
Filed under: uncultured bacterium
Lineage: Bacteria
Description: partial 16S ribosomal RNA
Rfam family: Bacterial small subunit ribosomal RNA
Source: RNAcentral
UACGGGGGGGGGAAGCGUUGUUCGGAAUUACUGGGCGUAAAGGGCUCGUAGGCGGCCAACUAAGUCGGACGUGAAAUCCCUCAGCUUAACUGGGGAACUGCGUCCGAUACUGGAUGGCUUGGAUUUGGGAGAGGGAUGCGGAAUUCCAGGUGUAGCGGUGAAAUGCGUAGAUACCAGGAGGAACACCGGUGGCGAAGGCGGCUUCCUGGCCGAGUACUGACGCUGAGGCACGAAAGCGUGGGGAGCGAACGGG